AGUGAACGCUGGCGGUAGGCCUAACACAUGCAAGUCGAACGGCAGCACAGUAAGAGCUUGCUCUUACGGGUGGCGAGUGGCGGACGGGUGAGGAGUACAUCGGAAUCUACUUUUUCGUGGGGGAUAGCGUAGGGAAACUUACGCUAAUACCGCAUACGACCUACGGGUGAAAGCAGGGGAUCUUCGGACCUUGCGCGAUUGAAUGAGCCGAUGUCGGAUUAGCUAGUUGGCGGGGUAAAGGCCCACCAAGGCGACGAUCCGUAGCUGGUCUGAGAGGAUGAUCAGCCACACUGGAACUGAGACACGGUCCAGACUCCUACGGGAGGCAGCAGUGGGGAAUAUUGGACAAUGGGCGCAAGCCUGAUCCAGCCAUACCGCGUGGGUGAAGAAGGCCUUCGGGUUGUAAAGCCCUUUUGUUGGGAAAGAAAAGCAGCAGGUUAAUACCCCGCUGUUCUGACGGUACCCAAAGAAUAAGCACCGGCUAACUUCGU
This 491-nucleotide ribosomal RNA is filed under the name uncultured bacterium. Its description in RNAcentral is "partial 16S ribosomal RNA". It matches the Rfam family "Bacterial small subunit ribosomal RNA", at positions 29 to 506 of the family's 1533-position model. The record is from RNAcentral.